Molecule: long non-coding RNA, 1062 nt
Filed under: Sus scrofa (pig)
Lineage: Eukaryota; Metazoa; Chordata; Mammalia; Artiodactyla; Suidae
Description: lncRNA (ENSSSCG00070019164.1)
Source: RNAcentral
CAUUGCAAGUAAGUCUCCAAUUUGUCACAUGCUUGUAUCUUACUACAGUUACUCGUACAUACAACCUGAGGAAAGUGUUCUAGCUAAGAGGAACCUAAUCAAUGGGAAAAGACCCCCAAAGCCAGCCCUGUUUCAAGCAUAGAUACCCAGACACGUUCUGCUGGUCUGAAGUUUCUGCUAAAUAGACACUGUCUUCUUGACUUCCUCCCAGAUCAUCUGCUCCCAAAAAGCCACAUUGUACUGACUGUAUUUAUCAUCUCUUCCGUAAGUCUUUGCACUUAAUUACUGUUUAAACUUUCAUAGAGGGUUGACUUCUAUUCUAGGAAAAGUAUGCUAAUAAAUGUAUUCCCACACUCUCCUAAAGAAAAUCAAAUACGGAAUAUGUAACAUUACAAAAUCCUGCCGGUAAAGAUGGUCACUAUCAAUCACACCACUAUUUUUCUCCCAGUAUUCAUUGUCUACAAAAUGUGUGCAGGUGCCUGAAUGAAAUGCUGUCCGACUUCACAGUGUGGGACAGUAUAUCUCGGAGAGAAACAGAGAGUGAUCAGCACUGACUGCUCACCCAGCUGUGCAGGAGGUUUGUGCAACCGUGCUGGACACGAGGCUACAAAUGAGAUGAUGAGGUUUCACUCUAAGCUUUUAUUUGCAGCAUCCCUGGGUGUGUGCUAUGUAGGGUUAUCAAUUGUAAGCCCUAAAGUGAAUAUAUACAGAUGUAUGUAUAUACAUAUAGGGUUGUCAAUUGUAAGCCUUAAAGUGACUAUAUAUGUGUGUGUGUAUAUAUAUGUAUCUGUAUAUAUAUACAUAUCCCUGAAUUCUCUGCUGUUUUGGCCAUGUUUAAGAAAUGACACCAGCACUGAGAGUUCAUAUUAUAAGGAUGGGCAUGGUCUAGAGGAGCUGUGGAGCUAUGUAGAUGCUGCUAGGCCCAGGCAUGGAUGUCAAGCAGGACCCUCACCCUCUUGUUCCAUGACUGAUCAUUCCCUGUUGAGUGAUAAGUGCAGGUCGGGGGUCCAGAGCAUCCCCAUGGGAUUAUGGCAUGGUUCCCACUUUGGCUUUUCCACAUAG